Molecule: long non-coding RNA, 1906 nt
Organism: Homo sapiens (human)
Lineage: Eukaryota; Metazoa; Chordata; Mammalia; Primates; Hominidae
Gene: GHET1
Product: gastric carcinoma proliferation enhancing transcript 1
Source: Ensembl
AGCCACCGCAAGGUACCAGAGAGCCGCCCAAUCUGCGCUGGCCUCCUUUAUCUGUUUGCUGUGUGACCCUCCGGACAGCUCUGUGGGACCUGGAGGAAACUGUGAGCCCUACAGAUAAAGUCUGUGCUUCCAGCGUCGGUAAAUCCCAGCAAGCGCCACUACCUGGAGGCUGACACUUUCCCAUCUUGGCAGUCAGCUCCCUACAGAGGUGCUUCUCCCACUGCCCAAGAUCCCUGCCUCCUCCUUAAACCCCAACUGAUAGAACAGAAACCACCACCUAAGGAACGUGAAGGGGAAGCAUCUGAAACACCAGAAGAUCUUGGAUUGUUCCUGAGGACUUCAGAAUCUACAGGGACAAAAGGCAGAAGCAGGAAGUCCGAAGUAAAGAUGACUAAGAAAAGGCGGGUGGAAAAGAUUUCUGUGAAAGUGUCAGAGGCAAAGCUCUGAAAGACCUGAAACUCAUGCCGAAAGCAAAGAACAGCAAAAAGACAGUAGGGAUGUGUCUGGAGCAACAAGGAUCGGGCUGUUCCUGGGGCAGCCGAAUUCACAGCUCUGUUUUACUCCUAAUGGAGGAUCUUCCUGCUGCAGCGGCGAGUAGACCUUACUGUAAAGGUGCAGGCAAGGGGAGGGGAAGGGCAGGCAGCUGCCCAUUGGAGUUCACAUCUCCAAGCCUGAGAAAAUGUGUUCCUGGAUGCCCCAAGCCAAUGGAAAAGCAGAAUCAUUGACUAUGUUUGACUCCUUCUGGUACCUAGCACAGUAUCUGGGACACAGCAGGUGCUAUGUAAAUGUGUUGAGUGAAUGAAUGAAUGAAUGCCAUUGAGGAGAAUGAAUAACCCCAGAAAACUAGACAUGGGUAGAUGUUGUCCUAAUUUCAAAAGAGGGGAAAAUGAGAGUGAGAGUUUCAUAAAUGACAAUCUCUAAACGAUGUUGCUCUCUAGCAAAAUUCUAGAAUGGAUUAUUUUAAGAACAAAGCAGGUAAACAUUGGCAGCCAACUUGAAAUUAAUAAGAAAAAGGUGUGCGCCAGAAUAGUUUUAUUUCCUUUUGUUUUUCAUUGUACAGCUUGAUUUGACUAAGUUGUUUAUACCUUUCACUCUGCCUUUGCAUGCACUGGGGGUGAUCUAGUCUACUAUGUGGACUGGAAGUCCACCCAGUGGCCAGGCUCAGAGGCAGGGAAGGGGGGUUGGUGCCAUUCUGGGAGAGGAGGUUUCUGGGGCUGUUUCUCAGCCAGAUCCUGUCUCAUCUGUUUCCAACAACCCCACAAAUGAAGACACUGAAGCUGACUAAUCAAAUUGACUGAUGCCCCAAUAGGUGUCAUGAUAUGCAGUGAGAAUCCGGCAGGCAUUAGAGAUGAACAGCACGGGCUGCAGCCACAUUAUCUCAGCUUGAGUCCUAGUUUUCACCAGCUACUAGCUAGCUAUCUCUGGUCAAGUCACUUACCUUGCUUGAGCCUCAGUUUCUCCAUCUAGAAAAUGGUCAUAAUCGAAGUAUCUAUCUUAUAGGGUGUUGGGAAGAUUAACUGAGAAGCCACAUAGAGUUUACUGGCACAUUAAAAAAAGAAACUAUAAGAAUGUUAGCUGUCCUUUUGCACGGCAAAAGGAACAGUAAGCAGAGUAAACAGACAACCCACAGAGUGGGAGAAAAUCUUCCCAAUCUAUACAUCCGACAAAGGACUAACAUCCAGAAUCUACGAGGAACUCAAAUUAGCAAGAAAAAAACAAUCCCAUCAAAAACUGGCCUAAGGACAUGAAUAGACAAUUCUCAAAAGAAGAUAUACAAAUGGCCAACAAACAUAUGAAAAAGUGCUCAAUAUCACUAAUGAUCAGGGAAAUGCAAAUCAAAACCACAAUGCAAUACCACAUUACUCCUGCAAGAAUGGCCAUAAUAAAAAAAAAAUCAAAAAAAUAA